UGUUCAUCAGACUGUCCAAGACAGGAAGUUGAGGAAUAAAGUUGACAGGACAUCCUGAACUGUCCUCGCUACCAGCUUAUGAGGGAACCAGCUGCAGUGGACAAAGUACGUUACAUCAUAGGAUAAUAGCAUUGAAUUGGAUUCUUGAACCAGAGCCAUGUGAACCUGGUCCACCUGUACCUCUCAUUGAAGACCUGUUAACAUCACCAGAGUAUGUUCAUUCUGAUACCCCUAUGGUAUGGUUACAGCAUGCAUUAUCCCUGAAUCCAUUAAAAGAGCUGCAUUGGCAACGAAACAACCCAAUGUGGUCGAUUGUAAGGAAAUAUAGCAUAUCAGCUUCCAACUUUGGUGCAGUUCUCAGUUCUAAGCAAAGGCGAUUGACAUUGUCACUGAAGAAACAGCUGAUGUCGGCUUACAAUCUGGAGUCCAUCAAGGCUGUUGCAUGGGGUAUCACUCAUGAAGAUGAUGCUUUGAGAAAGUAUAAAAAGGAAUUUGAUGCAGCUGUAGAGCAGUCAGGAUAUGGUUGCAUGAAUCCGGAGUGUUGGGAGCUUCAUCUGAUGGCUUAGUUGUUCGACCACCAACAUGCAGUGUAUUUUAUCAAACCCCAGAAGCCAAAGACGCCAUUCCUGAUAUUGUAGAGGUGAAGUGUCCAUAUACAGCAUUGUCUUCAACAGUAGCAGAUGGGGCACAAAAUUUGAAGGAUUUUUCAUAGAUCUUAAACAAGAUACCCUGUGCCUGAAAACCAGUCACCCAUACUAUCAUCAAAUUCAAGGCCAGCUACACAUAUGUAACAAAACAUUCUGCGACUUAAUUGUGUGGACAAGAGUAGACUGCAUUGUGAUUAGAAUAGUAAAAGACAUUGAAUGGACAGCAAAUGUUCCAAAGCUGAUAGAUUUCUACAUUAACAUUUUCAUUCCAGCACUGAUGGAAAACUGAGUUCUGGUUUGAACUUCUUGACACUUAGUUUUGUACCUCUAGAAUUUUCUAACAAUGGAAAAUGGGUAAUCAUGUUAAAUGUGUUGAAUUUUCCUAAGUCUCAUAAAU
Molecule: long non-coding RNA, 1044 nt
Organism: Saccostrea cuccullata (small rock oyster)
Lineage: Eukaryota; Metazoa; Mollusca; Bivalvia; Ostreida; Ostreidae
Exons: 6
Source: RefSeq, a predicted model, not a curated record